RNAcentral lists this ribosomal RNA (477 nucleotides) under uncultured bacterium. RNAcentral describes it as "partial 16S ribosomal RNA". It matches the Rfam family "Bacterial small subunit ribosomal RNA", at positions 30 to 507 of the family's 1533-position model. The record is from RNAcentral.
AUUGAACGCUGGCGGCAUGCCUUACACAUGCAAGUCGAACGGUAACAGGUUAAGCUGACGAGUGGCGAACGGGUGAGUAAUGUAUCGGAACGUGCCCAGUCGUGGGGGAUAACUGCUCGAAAGAGCAGCUAAUACCGCAUACGACCUGAGGGUGAAAGCGGUGGAUCGCAAGACCUCGCGCGAUUGGAGCGGCCGAUAUCAGAUUAGGUAGUUGGUGAGGUAAAGGCUCACCAAGCCGACGAUCUGUAGCUGGUCUGAGAGGACGACCAGCCACACUGGGACUGAGACACGGCCCAGACUCCUACGGGAGGCAGCGGUGGGGAAUUUUGGACAAUGGGCGCAAGCCUGAUCCAGCCAUGCCGCGUGCGGGAAGAAGGCCUUCGGGUUGUAAACCGCUUUUGUCAGGGAAGAAAAGGUUCUGGCUAAUACCUGGGACUCAUGACGGUACCUGAAGAAUAAGCACCGGCUAACUACGUG